GAUAUGUUGGGUCAGCUAGGACACGCACCAAAUUAGGGAAACUUUGCUUUUUGAUCGUCGCCACCUAUGGGAGGAUAGCAGAAACCCUAUUUUGCACCGUUUUGCUCGAAAUAAAUGAUUUUUAAACAAAUUGUGUUCGGUUUGAAAUUAAAGCCAAUUGGGAAGCAUCUCCUGUGUAAAUUUUUUGAAGCUCAAUUUGUCCUUGAAAAUUAACAAGAAAGAGAGCAAAAUGAAAAGUCUUUUGUAUCAAAAUUUGGGAGAAAACUAAGAUUGCCGGUUCGUACAAGCGAUGAAGACUGACUCUCGUUCACUUUGGCAGAACUCGUGACACAGUCCGGAUCGUUUUGGAAGUAUUUUUACGACCGUGAUAAUUAGCGUCCUCUGAUCGUCGUCAAUUGCGAUCAGGUGAAAUCGUGGCAGUGAUAAUUUUUGAAAAAUUAACAGCACUAAGUGCAUCUGUGCAAGUCGAGGUGUGAAGAAUUUUCGAGGCAGAUCUGUGAUCGAGCCUAGUUGGCAGGAGAAAUUUGCAGGUGUGAGGCCGCCGCAAUCAGAACGAGUGAGAAAGGAACCCAUCAACGUGGGUGGCUUAUCUGGAGCUGGAAAGCUCAAACGUGGUCGUCUGGGAGCGCAAUCCUGGAUCGGAAGCAGUUUUUUUUGGAACCGGAAGUGAAGUGUUUGUUAACCUUGAACUUUGAGAAUCUUUUGGUGUGUCGGAAUUUGGGGACAGCCCGUCGCUUUUCGCUGUUGGCACAGCUCUAUUGCCACCCCCAGCGGCAACCGGAAAAACGUCACACCGGUAACGCCUUAGUCGGUCUAGGACGCCAUCUCGUAGCACUUUAGCGAGAGCACGUUGGGAUCGAACGCUAGAGGUCAGUGUGGGAUCGGAUAACGCUACACGUCCGUAACCCCUCUGCCACGUGUUUGCUUUCGGGGUGGGUUAGCUUCGGCUCAAUACUCCCACGACUUCCGGAAACGCACGCCUGAGUUGGUAGCAGGUCCUUGUUGGAUCAAUGACGCCCCUCAGCAUACACUGACCCACCAACACAUGUGCAUUUGACCGAUUUAAGCCCCGACAACUAGCACCAUCUAUCGGCAGGACGCCAAAGCCGCAACAACAACACGCGCCGGCACUCAACCGUACGCCUGAGCCGGUAACGCCUCGCCUCGCCUCACACGCUUCAAGAAUCGGCCCGCCUUCGCCGAUCGGUCCAGCCGACAUCGGACCGGAAUUGUCGACACAUCGUGGGAGCACCGCACAAAUCGCAAGUAACGAACUCCGUAGGGACGUUUAGGAACCGGAUAGGGAAAUAGGGACGUUUAGCGGUCAGAAGGAGUAGGGAAAAAGGAUUAGGAUCACACCUGGACUGAGUUGAAUUGUCCACGCAAAAGAUGGAGGUUUUUUAGCUUGGC
Long non-coding RNA from Culex pipiens pallens (northern house mosquito), 1410 nucleotides. RefSeq lists it as uncharacterized. The transcript has 3 exons. Lineage: Eukaryota; Metazoa; Arthropoda; Insecta; Diptera; Culicidae. The record is from RefSeq and is a predicted model, not a curated record.